RNAcentral lists this ribosomal RNA (350 nucleotides) under uncultured bacterium. Its description in RNAcentral is "bacterial SSU rRNA". It matches the Rfam family "Bacterial small subunit ribosomal RNA", at positions 527 to 881 of the family's 1533-position model. The record is from RNAcentral.
GUAGGUUGCAAGCGUUGUCCGGAUUUACUGGGUGUAAAGGGCGUGUAGGCGGCAGAACAAGUCUGGAGUAAAAGGUAUGGGCUCAACCCGUACUGGCUCUGGAAACUGUUCAGCUAGAGAACAGAAGAGGACGACGGAACUCCAUGUGUAGCGGUAAAAUGCGUAGAUAUAUGGAAGAACACCGGUGGCGAAGGCGGCCGUCUGGUCUGUUGCUGACACUGAAGCACGAAAGCGUGGGGAGCAAAAAGGAUUAGAUACCCUAGUAGUCCACGCCGUAAACGAUGAGAACUAGGUGUUGGGGGAAUAACUCAGUGCCGCAGUUAACGCAAUAAGUUCUCCGCCUGGGGAGU